GAUGAACGCUGGCGGCGUGCCUAAUACAUGCAAGUCGAGCGAACAGACGAGGAGCUUGCUCCUUCGACGUUAGCGGCGGACGGGUGAGUAACACGUAGGUAACCUACCUAUAAGACUGGGAUAACUUCGGGAAACCGGAGCUAAUACCGGAUAAUAUUUCGAACCGCAUGGUUCGAUAGUGAAAGAUGGCUUUGCUAUCACUUAUAGAUGGACCUGCGCCGUAUUAGCUAGUUGGUAAGGUAACGGCUUACCAAGGCAACGAUACGUAGCCGACCUGAGAGGGUGAUCGGCCACACUGGAACUGAGACACGGUCCAGACUCCUACGUGAGGCAGCAGUAGGGAAUCUUCCGCAAUGGGCGAAAGCCUGACGGAGCAACGCCGCGUGAGUGAUGAAGGUCUUCGGAUCGUAAAACUCUGUUAUUAGGGAAGAACAAACGUGUAAGUAACUGUGCACGUCUUGACGGUACCUAAUCAGAAAGCCACGGCUAACUACGUG
RNAcentral lists this ribosomal RNA (497 nucleotides) under uncultured bacterium. Its description in RNAcentral is "partial 16S ribosomal RNA". It matches the Rfam family "Bacterial small subunit ribosomal RNA", at positions 28 to 507 of the family's 1533-position model. The record is from RNAcentral.